RNAcentral lists this ribosomal RNA (309 nucleotides) under uncultured eukaryote. RNAcentral's name for it is "partial 18S ribosomal RNA". It matches the Rfam family "Eukaryotic small subunit ribosomal RNA", at positions 1470 to 1796 of the family's 1831-position model. The record is from RNAcentral.
CCCUUAGAUGUUCUGGGCGGCCCGCGCACUACAAUGGCGUGUGCAGCGAAUGCCGAAGUAGAGUUUUCCGAGGUAUUCUUGCAAUGCUCGUUUUGAUGGGGAUAGACCCUUGCAACUGUUGGUUUUGAACGAGGAAUUCCUUGUAAGCAUGGUUUAUCAUCCGACGCUGAAUGCGUCCCUGCCCUUUGUACACACCGCCCGUCGCUCCUACCGAUGAGUCGUCCGGUGAAGUUCGUAGACCUCGUGAUCGCGGAUCACUGGGGGAAGCAAAAUGAACCUCGCGGUUUAGAGGAAGGAGAAGUCGUAACA